UUACAAUAUCUCUUAUUUGGUUCUUUGCUCCAUCAAUUUGCAGGGUUGAGAAGUCCUCGUAAGAGUUUAUUGAAGUGGGUUUUCCUGCAUUUGGAUGGCUCUUUAAUUGCAUUAGAAUUAUCAAAAUCAGGUGGAACCUUGAGCCAUUUCAUCCUUUACACUCACCUUUUCAUUCAGCGAAGAGCGUUGCGGAGGAAGUCACAAAAAGCAUAGUUACCGGAUGAUGAUCAAGAGAGAAGAUGCUGAGGAAUUUGGAGAAGAGGGAGACUAAACUUAUGAAUUGCAGAGGCAUAGAAUUGGAAUGUAUGACUUUGAAUUGUUGACAGUCAUUGGUGAAGGCACAUUCGGGGAGGGUCUUCAGAUUGGAGAAAAGAUGAAGGUAUGAUAUAUAUUCGUCUUGCCGUAAUCUCUAAUUACCAAAGAUGUCGUGAAUAUACUGGGAGGAGGCUGACCAACAAUAGUUGGACAUAUGCUCUAAUUAUCUCUAAUUAGCGAAGAUGUUGUGACAAGCAUAUGUCCAACUAUCUUUUCUAUGGCUGCAGAUUUAUCCUUCACAAAAUAACACACAAUAUGCGCUCUUUCCUCUGUAUUUAUUUCAGUGUUUCCGUUAU
Solanum stenotomum is the source of this 611-nucleotide long non-coding RNA. RefSeq lists it as uncharacterized. The transcript is spliced from 4 exons. The record is from RefSeq and is a predicted model, not a curated record. NCBI's taxonomy places the organism in Eukaryota, Viridiplantae, Streptophyta, Magnoliopsida, Solanales, Solanaceae.